CACGGGUGAGUAACGCGUAUGCAACCUACCUUUAACUGGGGCAUAGCUCCGAGAAAUCGGGAUUAAUACCCCAUAAUGUUACAAUUUCGCAUGUUAUUGUAACUAAAACUCCGGUGGUUAAAGAUGGGCAUGCGUGUCAUUAGCUUGUUGGUGAGGUAACGGCUCACCAAGGCUACGAUGACUAGGGGGUCUGAGAGGAUGAUCCCCCACACUGGUACUGAGACACGGACCAGACUCCUACGGGAGGCAGCAGUGAGGAAUAUUGGUCAAUGGGCGAAAGCCUGAACCAGCCAUGCCGCGUGCAGGAUGACAGCCCUAUGGGUCGUAAACUGCUUUUAUACGGGAAGAAACCCCUGAUCGUGAUCGGGGCUGACGGUACCGUAAGAAUAAGGAUCGGCUAACUCCGUGCCAGCAGCCGCGGUAAUACGGAGGAUCCUAGCGUUAUCCGGAUUUAUUGGGUUUAAAGGGUGCGUAGGCGGAAUAAUAAGUCAGUGGUGAAAUUCUGCAGCUUAACUGUAGAAUUGCCAUUGAUACUGUUAUUCUUGAAUGCAGUUGAGGUAGGCGGAAUGUGUAAUGUAGCGGUGAAAUGCUUAGAUAUUACCCAGAACACCGAUUGCGUAGGCAGUUUGCUAAACUGUGAUUGACGCUGAGGCACGAAAGCGUGGGUAGCAAACAGGAUUAGAUACCCUGGUAGUCCACGCCGUAAACGAUGAUUACUCGAUGUGUGCAAUAUACCGUACGCGUCUGAGCGAAAGCAUUAAGUAAUCCACCUGGGGAGUACGGCCGCAAGGUUGAAACUCAAAGGAAUUGACGGGGGCCCGCACAAGCGGAGGAACAUGUGGUUUAAUUCGAUGAUACGCGAGGAACACUUACCUGGGCUUAAAUGUAUUCUGACGUUCCGGGAAACUGGAAUUCCAUUCGGGGCAGAUUACAAGGUGCUGCAUGGUUGUCGUCAGCUCGUGCCGUGAGGUGUCGGGUUAAGUCCCAUAACGAGCGCAACCCCUAUUGUUAGUUGCCAGCGGAUAAUGCCGGGGACUCUAACGAAACUGACAGUGUAAACUGUGAGGAAGGUGGGGGAUGACGUCAAAUCAGCA
RNAcentral lists this ribosomal RNA (1094 nucleotides) under uncultured organism. RNAcentral's name for it is "bacterial SSU rRNA". It matches the Rfam family "Bacterial small subunit ribosomal RNA", at positions 100 to 1195 of the family's 1533-position model. The record is from RNAcentral.